UCCUAGUCUUGGCAAGAGACUACCUAAGUA
This 30-nucleotide non-coding RNA is filed under the name Rattus norvegicus (Norway rat). Lineage: Eukaryota; Metazoa; Chordata; Mammalia; Rodentia; Muridae. The record is from RNAcentral.